GACGCUCUGUCCGAGCUGCCGGUGCCUAGUGGGCCACUUCUGGUAAGCAGAACUGGCGCUGCGGGAUGAACCGACCUCGAGACAAGAGACUUUAAGGAAUAUUCCCAAGAAGCUGCCAAAACUCCCUUUGUUUCGGGGAAUUCCUUGCCUUUUCUGGCCUAGCAUGGACUGCCUAGCCCCACCCCUUGCUGGCGGGGAAU
Long non-coding RNA from Mustela erminea (ermine), 200 nucleotides. RefSeq lists it as uncharacterized. The transcript has 3 exons. NCBI's taxonomy places the organism in Eukaryota, Metazoa, Chordata, Mammalia, Carnivora, Mustelidae. The record is from RefSeq and is a predicted model, not a curated record.